ACAAGUACCGUGAGGGAAAGUUGCAAAGCACUUUGAAGAGAGAGUUAAAGAGGACGUGAAACCGAUGAGGUGGAAACGGAUAGAGCCAGCGUAUCUGGCCUGUAUUCAGCCGAGUGGACUGUCAAUGUGUGUGCGUUGCUCUCCAGAUUGGGACAGCGCGGGUCCGCUGGCGGUCUGUUUGGUGCAUUUGCAGGUGGAGUGCGUCGAGGCGUUCGUGGUGGCGGAAUGAACUCGGUUUUGAGGCCAGCGUGCUGGUACCCGGACCGUGGGAUUUCUGUUCGGCCUGAGCGCUCGCUGGGGGCAUGGCUUACUGGUUGUAGCGAAGGCCAAGCUGGUAGUUGGUGUCGGCCGCAUGCGACACGGGCUGGCUGCCGGUUUGGCCCCGUUUGCGCCCACUUGCCCACUCUCGGCGUAAAAGCUGGUCACCUAUCCGACCCGUCUUGAAACACGGACCAAGGAGUUUAUCGUGUGCGCGAGUCAUUGGGCGUUGAAAACCCAAAGGCGAAAUGAAAGUGAAUGUGUCCCUCGCGGAUCUGACGUGCGAUCCUGGUAACCUUGGUGACCAGGGGCAGCAUGGCCCCAUCCUGGCUGCUUGCAGUGGGGUGGAGGAAGAGCGUACGCGAUGAGACCCGAAAGAUGGUGAACUAUUCCUGAGCAGGAUGAAGCCAGAGGAAACUCUGGUGGAAGUCCGAAGCGAUUCUGACGUGCAAAUCGAUCGUCUGACUUGGGUAUAGGGGCGAAAGACUAAUCGAACCAUCUAGUAGCUGGUUCCUUCCGA
RNAcentral lists this ribosomal RNA (778 nucleotides) under Apratylenchus binhi. Its description in RNAcentral is "eukaryotic LSU rRNA". It matches the Rfam family "Eukaryotic large subunit ribosomal RNA", at positions 344 to 964 of the family's 3401-position model. The record is from RNAcentral. Lineage: Eukaryota; Metazoa; Nematoda; Chromadorea; Rhabditida; Pratylenchidae.